GAUGAACGCUGGCGGCGUGCUUAAUACAUGCAAGUCGAACGAAGACAGUAGCAAUAUUGUCUGAGUGGCGAACGGGUGAGUAACGCGUUGGUGACCUGCCCCGAAGAGAGGGAUAACAGUCCGAAAGGAUUGCUAAUACCCCAUGUGGUCGUUUGGAUUAGAUGCCUUAUGACUAAACGGAUUUAUUCGCUUCGGGAGGGGCCUGCGUCCCAUCAGCUAGUUGGUAAGGUAAUGGCUUACCAAGGCUAUGACGGGUAGGGGACCUGAGAGGGUGGCCCCCCACAAUGGAACUGAAACACGGUCCAUACACCUACGGGUGGCAGCAGUAGGGAAUAUUGGUUAAUCUGCGAAAGCGGGAACCAGCAACGCCGCGUGCACGAUGACGGCCUUCGGGUUGUAAAGUGCUUUUUGAAAGGAUGAGGAAGGACAGUACUUUCAGAAUAAGCUUCGGCUAACUACGUG
RNAcentral lists this ribosomal RNA (462 nucleotides) under uncultured bacterium. Its description in RNAcentral is "bacterial SSU rRNA". It matches the Rfam family "Bacterial small subunit ribosomal RNA", at positions 28 to 507 of the family's 1533-position model. The record is from RNAcentral.